This 390-nucleotide ribosomal RNA is filed under the name uncultured eukaryote. RNAcentral describes it as "SSU rRNA". It matches the Rfam family "Eukaryotic small subunit ribosomal RNA", at positions 828 to 1220 of the family's 1831-position model. The record is from RNAcentral.
UUUUGGUUCUAUUUUGUUGGUUUCUAGGACCAAGGUAAUGAUUAAUAGGGACAGUUGGGGGCAUUAAUACUUCCGAACGAGAGGUGAAAUUCUUAGAUCUCGGAAAGAUUAACUACUGCGAAAGCAUUUGUCAAGGAUGUUUUCAUUAAUCAAGAACGAAAGUUAGGGGAUCGAAAACGAUUAGAUACCGUUGUAGUCUUAACCAUAAACUAUGCCGACUCGGGAUCGGUCAGAGUUAAAAAUGUUCUGAUCGGCACCGUAUGAGAAAUCAAAGUUUUUGGGUUCUGGGGGGAGUACGGUCGCAAGGCUGAAACUUAAAGGAAUUGACGGAAGGGCACCACCAGGAGUGGAGCCUGCGGCUUAAUUUGACUCAACACGGGAAACUCACCA